Molecule: ribosomal RNA, 241 nt
Filed under: uncultured bacterium
Lineage: Bacteria
Description: partial 16S ribosomal RNA
Rfam family: Bacterial small subunit ribosomal RNA
Source: RNAcentral
UAGCGUUGUUCGGAAUUACUGGGCGUAAAGCGCACGUAGGCGGACAUUUAAGUCAGGGGUGAAAUCCCAGAGCUCAACUCUGGAACUGCCUUUGAUACUGGGUGUCUUGAGUAUGGAAGAGGUGAGUGGAAUUCCGAGUGUAGAGGUGAAAUUCGUAGAUAUUCGGAGGAACACCAGUGGCGAAGGCGGCUCACUGGUCCAUUACUGACGCUGAGGUGCGAAAGCGUGGGGAGCAAACAGG